GACGAACGCUGGCGGCGUGCUUAACACAUGCAAGUCGAACGGUAAGGCCCUUCGGGGUACACGAGUGGCGAACGGGUGAGUAACGCGUGGGUGAUCUGCCCUGCACUUCGGGAUAAGCCUGGGAAACUGGGUCUAAUACCGGAUAGGACCACUGCCUGCAUGGGUGGUGGUGGAAAGCUUUUGCGGUGUGGGAUGGGCCCGCGGCCUAUCAGCUUGUUGGUGGGGUGAUGGCCUACCAAGGCGACGACGGGUAGCCGGCCUGAGAGGGUGACCGGCAACACUGGGACUGAGAUACGGCCCAGACUCCUACGGGAGGCAGCAGUGGGGAGUAUUGCACAAUGGGCGCAAGCCUGAUGCAGCGACGCCGCGUGAGGGAUGACGGCCUUCGGGUUGUAAACCUCUUUCAGCACCGACGAGGCGCAAGUGACGGUAGGUGCAGAAGAAGGACCGGCCAACUACGUGCCAGCCGCCGCCGUAA
Molecule: ribosomal RNA, 478 nt
Filed under: uncultured bacterium
Lineage: Bacteria
Description: partial 16S ribosomal RNA
Rfam family: Bacterial small subunit ribosomal RNA
Source: RNAcentral